UCCCGUGUGGCUCAGUUGGUGGAGCAAUGGUGUUUGCAAUGCCAGGGUUGUGGGUUCGAUUCCCACGGUGGGAC
RNAcentral lists this transfer RNA (74 nucleotides) under Salmo salar (Atlantic salmon). It matches the Rfam family "tRNA". Rfam says of the family: Transfer RNA (tRNA) molecules are approximately 80 nucleotides in length. Their secondary structure includes four short double-helical elements and three loops (D, anti-codon, and T loops). Lineage: Eukaryota; Metazoa; Chordata; Actinopteri; Salmoniformes; Salmonidae. The record is from Rfam by way of RNAcentral.